This 571-nucleotide long non-coding RNA is filed under the name Homo sapiens (human). Its description in RNAcentral is "HSALNT0371804". The record is from RNAcentral. Lineage: Eukaryota; Metazoa; Chordata; Mammalia; Primates; Hominidae.
AGGAGGGUCCCCACAGACCAGGCAGACCAGAUGGUGAUGGCUUUAGUCUGGGCCACAGCAGCCUGUGCCCCUCAGUCUGCCUUUUCCAUCUCAGGAAAAGCCCCACCCUCCCAUCCACCAGGGGCACUGGUUUCUGCACCAGCUGCCUCCCCCUCUCCAGUAAUGGCCUUUGCUUUGCCUUGGAGGAGCCCACCCCUGUUGGACGCAGAUGAAGAUGCCAAGGGGAGCCUGGCUGACCAUGGAGCCAUCAUGGAGGGAGGCAGAGCUGAGGGCAGGGGGAGGUCCCAGCUGCAUCACAGGAGCCCCUGGAUCCAGCCACACCUGAAGUUCCAACGUCGCACGGUGGGACUCUGGACAGGGUCCUCCCUCUCCAUCUUCCCCUCGCUGGGACCCAGCACGGCACAGGAGGGGCGGCCAACACCAUUUAGACAUCAGAACUGUCCAGAGUGUUCUGCCCUCUGUCUUAAGUCACGACCCCGGAUUCCCCAGGCAGCCACACACAGCGGUCUACACCGGGAGAAAGUCGCCGUGAGAACCGUGGCACCGCAGGAGGCUGUGCGUGUUUGCUUUU